UGAGAUGGACAGGACCAGGAGGUGAUGAUGGGCACCAAGAUGGGUCCAGCAGGAGCAGGAGGACAUGACAGAUGCCAAGAUGGGUCCAGCAGGGCCAAGCAGAGAUGACAGGCACCAAGAUGAGUUGGGCAGGACCAGGAGGUGAUGACGGGCACC
Long non-coding RNA from Harpia harpyja (harpy eagle), 156 nucleotides. RefSeq lists it as uncharacterized. The record is from RefSeq and is a predicted model, not a curated record. Lineage: Eukaryota; Metazoa; Chordata; Aves; Accipitriformes; Accipitridae. The transcript has 2 exons.